GAGAAUGUGGGGUGUGUGAGCAGCCUUGUGAACUCCAAAACGAGCAGUCUUUGUUAUCUACUUCGUGGGCUUCAAGAUCUACUCCAAACUGCCUUGAUAACUCCAAAAUGAGCAGUCUUCAUGAUCUACUUCAAGAGCUUCAAGAACAGCUUCAAAUCGCCAUUCUUCUUGAUGGCUUCUUUUUCUUCAUCCCUUGAGAGA
Molecule: long non-coding RNA, 201 nt
Filed under: Arabidopsis lyrata
Lineage: Eukaryota; Viridiplantae; Streptophyta; Magnoliopsida; Brassicales; Brassicaceae
Description: long non-coding RNA (ALYR_LNC000287)
Source: RNAcentral